GACGAACGCUGGCGGCGUGCUUAACACAUGCAAGUCGAACGGAAAGGCCCUGCUUUUGUGGGGUGCUCGAGUGGCGAACGGGUGAGUAACACGUGAGUAACCUGCCCUUGACUUUGGGAUAACUUCAGGAAACUGGGGCUAAUACCGGAUAGGAGCUCCUGCUGCAUGGUGGGGGUUGGAAAGUUUCGGCGGUUGGGGAUGGACUCGCGGCUUAUCAGCUUGUUGGUGGGGUAGUGGCUUACCAAGGCUUUGACGGGUAGCCGGCCUGAGAGGGUGACCGGCCACGUGGGGACUGAGAUACGGCCCAGACUCCUACGGGAGGCAGCAGUGGGGAAUAUUGCACAAUGGGCGGAAGCCUGAGGCAGCAACGCCGCGUGCGGGAUGACGGCCUUCGGGUUGUAAACCGCUUUCGCCUGUGACGAAGCGUGAGUGACGGUAAUGGGUAAAGAAGCACCGGCUAACUACGUG
RNAcentral lists this ribosomal RNA (468 nucleotides) under uncultured bacterium. RNAcentral's name for it is "partial 16S ribosomal RNA". It matches the Rfam family "Bacterial small subunit ribosomal RNA", at positions 28 to 507 of the family's 1533-position model. The record is from RNAcentral.